GGCAUUGCAGGGGCUCCCCAUCUAGUUCUAAAAGUCUAACUGCAAUGGGGAAAAUGGCGGUAAAAGAAACAGGAAGAGCCAAGUAACCCACGUCUAACCCUAAAAACUUUAAGGAUCCACCAACAAAUCAGCAGAUGUUCCGGAUUUCCUCAGGUUCACCCUGUGAAAUAUCCAUCAGGAGUAAGCAGCAGGAAAUGUGUAACAGAGGCUGAACCUAUGAUGCAUCAUGGAGGCAAGGCCGCCUGGGUUCUAACAGCCAGAGACUAAAUUCCCAAGGAUAAAAGCCUGGGAGAUACAGGCAGAGAGACACCGAGGAGCAGACUGCCUCUGGACUCCAAAGUGGGAAUUUACUAAGAGCCAAAACAAGUCCUGUUUUAGGGGUGAAUACCAUCAUUACUUCCUAAAACCUGUCUCCAAAUAAUAUGUGCCCUCGCCAUCAUCUCUCAAGGUCCACCUGUUCCCGUGGGAGGGGCAGAGUGUACACAAAUCCUGCAGACAAUGAUGUUGGGGAACAAGAGUCAAGUAUUAUAUCAGAGUAUGGAGCCAUCCUGAAGGACGAAGCACAGAAUAAUUAUAAGAUGUUCCUGGGCUUCCUGGCUGCUACCAGACUGGCCCAGACCACCAUCAUGCAUCACCUGGACAAGAGCAACUGCCCCUGGACAGAACUCUGCACCCAUUCUUGCCUCUGUGAUUCAUCAGACACAACUGCUUCUCCAACUGACAUCUCAUCACGUCACACCCAUGGUUCCAUCCUUUAACGUUUGCUUUGCCUUUAACUCUUAACAUCCAAAGUCCCUCCAGUAUGUUUUGGUUUUGGUUUUUCUGUUUGUUUGGCCACUACUGCGAAGCAAUUAACUAGCCUCUGCCAUUGAUGCCGAUCUCAAGGCCACGCUGCUACCUGUGCUUCAUCUCACUGACCGACACAGGAACAGAAAUAGGAAGAUGUCUAUAAGCCCCCGCCCCCCCACAAGUGGCAAGGAAGCUUCCUAGAGCACGGUAAAGUGUACUCACUAAAUCUGGGACUUUACAGAAGAGGGAAGGGACAGCAGGAAGAGGCAUGUGAGCAGAGGGAAGGAGGUGGCACCUCGAAGGAGGAAUGCUGGGAGGAUGUGUCUUAUCUGAUGAGACUAAAAGGUCUCAGUGUAUUAGGUUCAACAGUACAAGGAAGGGCUCGAAGAUGAUUCCUAAAGCAUUGAAAAAGACAUCAAGCAAGAGAAUCGUGAAGGCCAAGAAUUCGUCCCAGAAGUUUCUUAAGUGAGGUGUGUAACACAGACUUCUCGCCCCAAAGCACCUCCUCACUGUGCCCCUUCCCAGCACAUCCUGGUACCAAGACUCCCCCAGUCCAGAGAGCACACUGCCUCUCUGGCCAGAUGGCUAGUUCUGUUUCCGAAGAGAGGAACGAACAUGGAGCACAAGACCACACAGCUGGGGAGGUGACCCAGGGAAAGGGCGCAGAAACAGCGUGGUAGAGAGGAGGCUGAAGCAUUUUGUAAACUGGCAGACAGCAUCACAGAACGGUCUUUCGAGAAGUAAAGCUAAUUCCUAGAGGAAACACGAUGAAAUAAUGAAAACGAGAAAAAGAAGACCACAGCUGUAUUCAAGGACAUGAAAAGUAUGAUAAUUGAGCCUUCCUCUCUUCUCAGUGUGGAAGAACCCAUACUCCUGAUCCCCCAGAUAAGUACUUCCAGAACCCUCCCAUUCCAAGUGGCCCCAGACAUUCUUCAGGCUCUGAGAUUAUAUCAACUUUAAAGUGUCCAAAUUUCGUAUGUGCCCUCUUUUCCCUUCCCCCAGAGAG
Long non-coding RNA from Suricata suricatta (meerkat), 1795 nucleotides. RefSeq lists it as uncharacterized. The record is from RefSeq and is a predicted model, not a curated record. The transcript has 5 exons. Lineage: Eukaryota; Metazoa; Chordata; Mammalia; Carnivora; Herpestidae.